Long non-coding RNA from Brassica napus (rape), 806 nucleotides. RefSeq lists it as uncharacterized. The transcript has 2 exons. Lineage: Eukaryota; Viridiplantae; Streptophyta; Magnoliopsida; Brassicales; Brassicaceae. The record is from RefSeq and is a predicted model, not a curated record.
CCCGUCCCUAAGACCACCUCCAAUGGUGGGUUUAGGGUGAGGUUCUUAAGAAAAAAAGAAAAAUAAAUAAAUAAAAAAUGAUACAAUUAGACAGAACCGCUUCUUAAUUAAGAGGAUAUAUGAUCGGUUGAAAUCCCAUAUGUGGCUAAUGUGUAUUGGAUCGUUGCUUUCACACGAAAGGGAAAAAAAAUGUCCCUUCUCUUUCUUCGUUAAUCUCACUUCUUCGUCAUUAUCAAAUACCGUCGCCGAUGUUGUCGAAAUCUCCAAAGGAGAUGAUGUUUAAUCCGAUUCUUUCAUCCUCGAUGUUCUCCUCCAAAUCCGUCCAUGCAAUCACCAUGAAGGGUCGGAUUCUUUUACUUUUAGAAAAGCUUUGUUUUCUGAAGAGAGAGAGAGGAAGAAGAAGAAGAAACAUCAGCCAUGUUUUCUGGGUUGUGGUUGUCUGCGCUGUUCCGUACAUCCUCUCGUAUUUCUCUGAUUCCAAGGAUGAGCUCAAGCUCGACUUCUAAGACUUGAUUUUCAGGGAACUUCUUCAGGUCUGAUGCUCAACAAGCGCAUGAUAGACAAGAAGACAUCUCUGGAGCUAAGGCUGACUUGAAGAUCAAUGAACCGGACUAAACCUGCAGUGGUGACAGAAACAUAAGCUGAAUGAUAUUUUAGAAUACAUAAACCAUAUGGUUAACAUGUGACACAAGAAGGCAUGAGAGUAGACACAACUGUAUUAAGUUUAGAUCAGUACUGUGAUUGCAUUAUAUGAGUAUUGUAUAUCUUAACUUGGUUUUUUUUCAAAUUGAAGUUGCUUGAUCCUU